Molecule: ribosomal RNA, 465 nt
Filed under: uncultured bacterium
Lineage: Bacteria
Description: bacterial SSU rRNA
Rfam family: Bacterial small subunit ribosomal RNA
Source: RNAcentral
GACGAACGUUGGCGGCGUGCCUAACACAUGCAAGUCGAACGGAGAUACGAUUUCGGUUGUAUCUUAGUGGCGAACGGGUGAGUAACGCGUGAGCAACCUGACUCUUAGAGGGGGAUAACACCCGGAAACGAGUGCUAAUACCGCAUAAGACCACGACAUGGCAUCAUGACGAGGUCAAAGGAGCAAUCCGCUGAGAGAGGGGCUCGCGUCCCAUUAGAUAGAUGGCGGGGUAACGGCCCACCAUGUCAGCGAUGGGUAGUCGAGCUGAGAGGCUGAUCGGUCACACUGGAACUGAGACACGGUCCAGACUCCUACGGGAGGCAGCAGUGGGGAAUAUUGGGCAAUGGGCGCAAGCCUGACCCAGCAACGCCGCGUGAGGGAAGAAGGCUUUCGGGUUGUAAACCUCUGUCCUUGGUGACGAAAAAAAUGACGGUAGCCAAGGAGGAAGCCCCGGCUAACUACGUG